UUAAGCAAUGCGACUUUGCUGUAAAUAUGGACAAAUAAUGAUUACUUUGUAGGCUUUAUUUAGGUGGGCAGUCUUUUAGUCUUUUGAUGCUCAUAAAGGACCCUACGUACAUGU
Raphanus sativus (radish) is the source of this 114-nucleotide small nucleolar RNA. The record is from RefSeq and is a predicted model, not a curated record. Lineage: Eukaryota; Viridiplantae; Streptophyta; Magnoliopsida; Brassicales; Brassicaceae.